UACGUAGGGGGCAAGCGUUGUCCGGAUUUAUUGGGCGUAAAGAGCGUGUAGGCGGUUUGGUAGGUCCGUUGUGAAAACUCGAGGCUCAACCUCGAGACGCCGAUGGAAACCAUCAGACUAGAGUCCGGAAGAGGAGAGUGGAAUUCCUGGUGUAGCGGUGAAAUGCGCAGAUAUCAGGAGGAACACCGAUGGCGAAGGCAGCUCGCUGGGACGGUACUGACGCUGAGGCGCGAAAGCGUGGGGAGCAAACAGG
Molecule: ribosomal RNA, 253 nt
Filed under: uncultured bacterium
Lineage: Bacteria
Description: partial 16S ribosomal RNA
Rfam family: Bacterial small subunit ribosomal RNA
Source: RNAcentral